Molecule: non-coding RNA, 429 nt
Organism: Maylandia zebra (zebra mbuna)
Lineage: Eukaryota; Metazoa; Chordata; Actinopteri; Cichliformes; Cichlidae
Source: the annotation of a RefSeq genome assembly
UGUCUUUCAUGUCUACUUAUCUGUCAGCAGAGAGGAUGACAAAGAGCAGUGCACUAACAGUUUAACAGCAUGGACUUCAGGGCAGGACUGCUGCUUUUAACGUUGUUUGUGGCAGGUGUUGAUAGUCAGACUAUAACACAGUCUGAACCGGUGGCUAUAAGACCUGGAGAAUCCCACAGGCUGACCUGUACAGGCUCCAACAUUGACUUCAGCAGCAACAGGAUGGCCUGGGUCAGACAGGCUCCUGAGAAAGGACUGGAGUGGGUUGCCAGUAUCAGAUAUGACAGUGCUUACAUCUAUUAUUCUCAGUCAGUUCAGGGCAGGUUCACCAUCUCCAGAGACAACAGCAAAGAGCAGCUGUAUCUGCAGAUGAACAGCCUGAAGACUGAAGACUCUGCUGUUUAUUACUGUGCUCGAGAACCACAGUGA